AUACUCACUGGAAGCCUCAUGCACUG
This 26-nucleotide non-coding RNA is filed under the name Cricetulus griseus (Chinese hamster). Lineage: Eukaryota; Metazoa; Chordata; Mammalia; Rodentia; Cricetidae. The record is from RNAcentral.